UACAGAGGUCUCAAGCGUUGUUCGGAUUCAUUGGGCGUAAAGGGUGCGUAGGCGGCGCGGGUAGUCAUCGGUGAAAGUUCAGGGCUCAACUCUGAAUCGGCCGGUGAUACUCUCGUGCUUGAGCACUGUAGAGGCAGGUGGAAUUCCGGGUGUAGCGGUGGAAUGCGUAGAGAUCCGGAAGAACACCGGUGGCGAAGGCGGCCUGCUGGGCAGUAGCUGACGCUGAUGCGCGACAGCGUGGGGAGCAAACAGG
Molecule: ribosomal RNA, 253 nt
Filed under: uncultured bacterium
Lineage: Bacteria
Description: partial 16S ribosomal RNA
Rfam family: Bacterial small subunit ribosomal RNA
Source: RNAcentral